UAACGUUCUCUUCGUUUUGAAUCCCUUUUAAUUUUGUUCACAUCACUCAAUUUUCUAUUUUUUUGCAUUCCUGAGAGGAGCCACGGCGGUGAUGAGAGGAGCCACGGCGGUGGCAACGGCUGAGAGGAAGAGGAACAGUCUGGAUGAGGCGCUGAUAGGAAAAGGGAGAAAGAAGAGAACGCCUUAAUCGCAGCCCUUAGAUUCGUUGUUGCUAGGGUUUUCUAUUUUAUGCUCGAUUGUUUGCUACGGAUGUAGCUGAAGAAGUUAAGCAGAUUCAUAAUGUUAUGGGAGCUGGUGUAGAUGUUAUCUUUGAUUGUGCUGGUUUUAACAAAACCAUUACUACAGCAUUGAAUGCUACUCAACCAGGUGGCAAAGUUUGUCUAGUUGGAAUGGGACAUUCUGAAAUGACUGUGCCACUCACACCAGCUGCUGCAAGACAAAUACAGCAAUUUAUCAGGAUGUCUUUUCCUGUGUACCUAAUGAUCUGAUACACACCAGACUUGCUUUCAAACAAAACAUGGCUUUGUGGAAAGAAAAAAUUGGACACACUACCAUCGAUUUAGGAAUAGCCCCGGUUAAACUAGAGUCCUAUCAGGAUGGAGAUAUCAAGAACACUAAUCCCAUGGAGAGAUUAGCAUCAAUCAAGGGUCAUCUUUUAUGCUCGAUUGUUUGCUAUGGAUGUAGCUGAAGAAGUUAAGCAGAUUCAUGAUGUUAUGGGAGCUGGUGUAGAUGUUACCUUUGAUUGUGCUGGUUUUAACAAAACCAUUACUACAGCAUUGAAUGCUAAUCAACCCGGUGGCAAAGUUUAUCUAGUUGGAAUGGGACAUUCCGAAAUGACUGUGCCACUCACACCAGCUGCAGCAAGGUAAUCAGACUUCGUCCAAAAGUAUGUACCAAAGAUACUUACAGGGACUAAAACUAAAGUGUUAUAUUAGCAGGGACUAACAUCAUAUCAUAUUUAAACCAAAAUUAAAUAAAAUGUUAUAUACUGACAAAAUGUAUAUAAUGUGACUAUAUUAUAGACCCCUUUAAAAUAUUUACAUAAAUUAAGAAAAAUAAGUAUGUGUGUAUAUAAUGUGAUUAUUCAUAGUGAUGCAUGAAUGGAUAUAUAAUUUUAAUGACCCUAGUCCCUUAAUGUGAAAGUUAGUUGUUGCCUUAAUAUGCUACUCAAGCAAUUGUCUAGAUCGGUGUCUGCUUUUGUAUUAAAAAAAUUGUGAAUUUUUAUUCAUGGUGAUGCAUGAAUGUUUAUAUAUUCUGCUUUGAUGACCCUUAGUCCCUAAAUUCAAUUAUGCAACUGUGAUUAAUAGAAAAGUUUUGUAAGGGUUGGAUGCCUCAAUGACCUUUGAGAAAAAUGCAUUAUGAAUUCCUUAUUCAUAAUGGAAAAAUAGGAUAGUGGCUUUAGAAUUGAUUUUGCAUUAUCAACUUAAUGACCCUUGUCCCAAAUGUUAUAUACCAAUUGGAAAUGUUGGAAGAACUUAAUGACCCUAGUCCCUGAAUAUGAUAGCUAGUUGUUGCCUUAAUUGCUACUCAAGCAAUUGUCUUGAUCGGUGUCCGCUUUUCUAUUAAAAAAAAUUAUGAAUUUUUAUUCAUAGUGACGCAUGAAAGGAUAUAUAUUCUUAAUGACCCUAGUCCCUGAAUAUGAAAGCUAGUUGUUGCCUUAAUUGCUACUCAAGCAAUUGUCUAGAUUGGUGUCCGCUUUUCUAUUAAAAAAUAUUAUGAAUUUUUAUUCAUAGUGAUGCAUGAAUGGAGACAUAUUCUUAAUGCCCUAGUCCCUGAAUGUGAAAGCUAGUUGUUGUCUUAAUUGCUACUCAAGCAAUUGUCUCGAUCGGUGUCUGCUUUUCUAUUAAAAAAAAUUAUAAAUUUUUAUUCAGAGAUGCAUGAAUGGAUAUAUAUUCUUAAUGACCCUAGUCCCUCGUAUGAAAGCUAGUUGUUGCCUAAAUUGCUACUCAAGCAAUUGUCUCGAUUGGUGUCCGCUUUUCUAUUAAAAAAAA
Long non-coding RNA from Trifolium pratense (red clover), 1991 nucleotides. RefSeq lists it as uncharacterized. The transcript has 5 exons. The record is from RefSeq and is a predicted model, not a curated record. NCBI's taxonomy places the organism in Eukaryota, Viridiplantae, Streptophyta, Magnoliopsida, Fabales, Fabaceae.